RNAcentral lists this ribosomal RNA (867 nucleotides) under uncultured bacterium. Its description in RNAcentral is "bacterial SSU rRNA". It matches the Rfam family "Bacterial small subunit ribosomal RNA", at positions 25 to 880 of the family's 1533-position model. The record is from RNAcentral.
GCAGUCGAACGCGUCUUGGUUAUUGAUGUUAGAUGCUUGCAUUUAACUGAUUUAAUAUUGAGACGAGUGGCGAACUGGUGAGUAACACGUGGGUAACCUGCCCUUGAAGUAGGGGAUAACACUUGGAAACAGGUGCUAAUACCGUAUAACAACCAAAACCACCUGGUUUUGGUUUAAAAGAUGGCUUCGGCUAUCACUUUAGGAUGGACCCGCGGCGUAUUAGCUUGUUGGUAAGGUAACGGCCUACCAAGGCAAUGAUACGUAGCCGACCUGAGAGGGUAAUCGGCCACAUUGGGACUGAGACACGGCCCAAACUCCUACGGGAGGCAGCAGUAGGGAAUCUUCCACAAUGGACGAAAGUCUGAUGGAGCAACGCCGCGUGAGUGAUGAAGGGUUUCGGCUCGUAAAACUCUGUUGUUGGAGAAGAACAGGUGUGAGAGUAACUGUUCACAUCUUGACGGUAUCCAACCAGAAAGCCACGGCUAACUACGUGCCAGCAGCCGCGGUAAUACGUAGGUGGCAAGCGUUGUCCGGAUUUAUUGGGCGUAAAGCGAGCGCAGGCGGUUUCUUAGGUCUGAUGUGAAAGCCUUCGGCUUAACCGGAGAAGUGCAUCGGAAACCAGGAGACUUGAGUGCAGAAGAGGACAGUGGAACUCCAUGUGUAGCGGUGAAAUGCGUAGAUAUAUGGAAGAACACCAGUGGCGAAGGCGGCUGUCUGGUCUGUAACUGACGCUGAGGCCCGAAAGCAUGGGUAGCGAACAGGAUUAGAUACCCUGGUAGUCCAUGCCGUAAACGAUGAGUGCUAAGUGUUGGAGGGUUUCCGCCCUUCAGUGCUGCAGCUAACGCAUUAAGCACUCCGCCUGGGGAG